GAUGAACGCUGGCGGCGUGCCUAAUACAUGCAAGUCGAGCGAACAGACGAGGAGCUUGCUCCUCUGACGUUAGCGGCGGACGGGUGAGUAACACGUGGAUAACCUACCUAUAAGACUGGGAUAACUUCGGGAAACCGGAGCUAAUACCGGAUAAUAUAUUGAACCGCAUGGUUCAAUAGUGAAAGACGGUUUUGCUGUCACUUAUAGAUGGAUCCGCGCCGCAUUAGCUAGUUGGUAAGGUAACGGCUUACCAAGGCAACGAUGCGUAGCCGACAUGAGAGGGUGAGCGGCCACACUGGAACUGAGACACGGUCCAGACUCCUACGGGAGGCAGCAGUAGGGAAUCUUCCGCAAUGGGCGAAAGCCUGACGGAGCAACGCCGCGUGAGUGAUGAAGGUCUUCGGAUCGUAAAACUCUGUUAUUAGGGAAGAACAAAUGUGUAAGUAACUAUGCACGUCUUGACGGUACCUAAUCAGAAAGCCACGGCUAACUACGUG
Molecule: ribosomal RNA, 497 nt
Filed under: uncultured bacterium
Lineage: Bacteria
Description: partial 16S ribosomal RNA
Rfam family: Bacterial small subunit ribosomal RNA
Source: RNAcentral